RNAcentral lists this ribosomal RNA (432 nucleotides) under uncultured bacterium. Its description in RNAcentral is "partial 16S ribosomal RNA". It matches the Rfam family "Bacterial small subunit ribosomal RNA", at positions 338 to 795 of the family's 1533-position model. The record is from RNAcentral.
CCUACGGGGGGCAGCAGUAAGGAAUAUUGGUCAAUGGAGGCAACUCUGAACCAGCCAUGCCGCGUGCAGGAAGACGCCCUAUGGGUUGUAAACUGCUUUUAUCUGGGAAUAUGUACCAGAAGAAUAAGGAUCGGCUAACUCCGUGCCAGCAGCCGCGGUAAUACGGAGGAUCCAAGCGUUAUCCGGAUUUAUUGGGUUUAAAGGGUGCGUAGGCGGCCUGUUAAGUCAGGGGUGAAAGACGGUAGCUCAACUAUCGCAGUGCCCUUGAUACUGAUGGGCUUGAAUGAACUAGAGGUAGGCGGAAUGAGACAAGUAGCGGUGAAAUGCAUAGAUAUGUCUCAGAACACCGAUUGCGAAGGCAGCUUACUAUGGUUCAUUGACGCUGAGGCACGAAAGCGUGGGGAUCAAACAGGAUUAGAUACCCUUGUAGUC